This 591-nucleotide small RNA is filed under the name Pan troglodytes (chimpanzee). Its description in RNAcentral is "processed transcript". Lineage: Eukaryota; Metazoa; Chordata; Mammalia; Primates; Hominidae. The record is from RNAcentral.
GAUGUGCUAGGAAUUCUUUCCAAGGUACAAAUAACAUACUACUGUAAGUCUACAUUAAAGACGUCGAGAGUGACUUGUUUGUUGUUUGGUCACGAGGAUAGGUAAAACUAGGUGUGAAGAUUUUUGACAUCAUCUCAAAGCAAAGAAUCACCAAUGUGCCCCGGGAUGAUAUAAGUCUUCGCCCAGACAUGUAUCCCUGCAGCCUCUGCUGGAAGGACAAUGUGACACUGAUUAUUGGCUGGGGGACUUCUGUCAAGGUAUGCUCAGUGAAGGAACGGCAUGCCAGUGAAAUGAGGGAUUUGCCAAGUCGAUAUGUUGAAAUAGUGUCUCAGUUUGAAACUGAAUUCUACAUCAGUGGACUUGCACCUCUCUGUGAUCAGCUUGUUGUACUUUCGUAUGUAAAGGAGAUUUCAGAAAAAACGGAAAGAGAAUACUGUGCCAGGCCUAGACUGGACAUCAUCCAGCCACUUUCUGAGACUUGUGAAGAGAUCUCUUCUGAUGCUUUGACAGUCAGAGGCUUUCAGGAGAAUGAAUGUAGAGAUUAUCAUUUAGAAUACUCUGAAGGGGAAUCACUUUUUUACAUCGUGAGUC